Molecule: ribosomal RNA, 807 nt
Filed under: Flavobacterium sp.
Lineage: Bacteria; Pseudomonadati; Bacteroidota; Flavobacteriia; Flavobacteriales; Flavobacteriaceae
Description: bacterial SSU rRNA
Rfam family: Bacterial small subunit ribosomal RNA
Source: RNAcentral
UGCAGUCGAGGGGUAUAUGUCUUCGGAUAUAGAGACCGGCGCACGGGUGCGUAACGCGUAUGCAAUCUGCCUUUCACAGAGGGAUAGCCCAGAGAAAUUUGGAUUAAUACCUCAUAGUAUAAUCAAGCCGCAUGGUUUAAUUAUUAAAGUCACAACGGUGAAAGAUGAGCAUGCGUCCCAUUAGCUAGUUGGUAAGGUAACGGCUUACCAAGGCAACGAUGGGUAGGGGUCCUGAGAGGGAGAUCCCCCACACUGGUACUGAGACACGGACCAGACUCCUACGGGAGGCAGCAGUGAGGAAUAUUGGACAAUGGGCGCAAGCCUGAUCCAGCCAUGCCGCGUGCAGGAUGACGGUCCUAUGGAUUGUAAACUGCUUUUGUACGAGAAGAAACAUCCCGACGUGUCGGGACUUGACGGUAUCGUAAGAAUAAGGAUCGGCUAACUCCGUGCCAGCAGCCGCGGUAAUACGGAGGAUCCAAGCGUUAUCCGGAAUCAUUGGGUUUAAAGGGUCCGUAGGCGGUUUAGUAAGUCAGUGGUGAAAGCCCAUCGCUCAACGGUGGAACGGCCAUUGAUACUGCUGAACUUGAAUUAUUAGGAAGUAACUAGAAUAUGUAGUGUAGCGGUGAAAUGCUUAGAUAUUACAUGGAAUACCAAUUGCGAAGGCAGGUUACUACUAAUGGAUUGACGCUGAUGGACGAAAGCGUGGGGAGCGAACAGGAUUAGAUACCCUGGUAGUCCACGCCGUAAACGAUGGAUACUAGCUGUUGGGGGCAACUUCAGUGGCUAAGCGAAAGUGAUAAGUAUCCC